UACAGAGGGGGCUAGCGUUAUUCGGAAUUAUUGGGCGUAAAGGGCGCGUAGGCGGCCAUGCGUGUCUUCCGUGAAAUCCCUCGGCUUAACUGAGGACGUGCGGAAGAAACUGCAAGGCUCGAGUCCGGGAGAGGGGGGUGGAAUUCCCAGUGUAGCGGUGAAAUGCGUAGAUAUUGGGAGGAACACCGGUGGCGAAGGCGGCCCCCUGGACGGUAACUGACGCUGAGGCACGAAAGCGUGGGGAGCAAACAGG
This 253-nucleotide ribosomal RNA is filed under the name uncultured bacterium. RNAcentral describes it as "partial 16S ribosomal RNA". It matches the Rfam family "Bacterial small subunit ribosomal RNA", at positions 524 to 776 of the family's 1533-position model. The record is from RNAcentral.